CUGCAACUGUUUAUUAAAAACACAGCACUGUGCAAACACGAAAGUGGACGUAUACGGUGUGACGCCUGCCCGGUGCCGGAAGGUUAAUUGAUGGGGUCAGCGCAAGCGAAGCUCCUGAUCGAAGCCCCGGUAAACGGCGGCCGUAACUAUAACGGUCCUAAGGUAGCGAAAUUCCUUGUCGGGUAAGUUCCGACCUGCACGAAUGGCGUAAUGAUGGCCAGGCUGUCUCCACCCGAGACUCAGUGAAAUUGAACUCGCUGUGAAGAUGCAGUGUACCCGCGGCAAGACGGAAAGACCCCGUGAACCUUUACUAUAGCUUGACACUGAACAUUGAGCCUUGAUGUGUAGGAUAGGUGGGAGGCUUUGAAGUGUGGACGCCAGUCUGCAUGGAGCCGACCUUGAAAUACCACCCUUUAAUGUUUGAUGUUCUAACGUGGACCCGUAAUCCGGGUUGCGGACAGUGUCUGGUGGGUAGUUUGACUGGGGCGGUCUCCUCCUAAAGAGUAACGGAGGAGCACGAAGGUUGGCUAAUCCUGGUCGGACAUCAGGAGGUUAGUGCAAUGGCAUAAGCCAGCUUGACUGCGAGCGUGACGGCGCGAGCAGGUGCGAAAGCAGGUCAUAGUGAUCCGGUGGUUCUGAAUGGAAGGGCCAUCGCUCAACGGAUAAAAGGUACUCCGGGGAUAACAGGCUGAUACCGCCCAAGAGUUCAUAUCGACGGCGGUGUUUGGCACCUCGAUGUCGGCUCAUCACAUCCUGGGGCUGAAGUAGGUCCCAAGGGUAUGGCUGUUCGCCAUUUAAAGUGGUACGCGAGCUGGGUUUAGAACGUCGUGAGACAGUUCGGUCCCUAUCUGCCGUGGGCGCUGGAGAACUGAGGGGGGCUGCUCCUAGUACGAGAGGACCGGAGUGGACGCAUCACUGGUGUUCGGGUUGUCAUGCCAAUGGCACUGCCCGGUAGCUAAAUGCGGAAGAGAUAAGUGCUGAAAGCAUCUAAGCACGAAACUUGCCCCGAGAUGAGUUCUCCCUGAGACUUUAGGUCUCCUGAAGGAACGUUGAAGACGACGACGUUGAUAGGCCGGGUGUGUAAGCGCAGCGAUGCGUUGAGCUAACCGGUACUAAUGAACCGUGAGGCUUAACCUUACAACGCCGAAG
Molecule: ribosomal RNA, 1149 nt
Filed under: Salmonella enterica subsp. enterica serovar Muenchen
Lineage: Bacteria; Pseudomonadati; Pseudomonadota; Gammaproteobacteria; Enterobacterales; Enterobacteriaceae
Also listed under: 1 other name
Description: partial 23S ribosomal RNA
Rfam family: Bacterial large subunit ribosomal RNA
Source: RNAcentral